This 468-nucleotide ribosomal RNA is filed under the name uncultured bacterium. RNAcentral describes it as "partial 16S ribosomal RNA". It matches the Rfam family "Bacterial small subunit ribosomal RNA", at positions 28 to 507 of the family's 1533-position model. The record is from RNAcentral.
GACGAACGCUGGCGGCGUGCUUAACACAUGCAAGUCGAACGGAAAGGCCCUGCUUUUGUGGGGUGCUCGAGUGGCGAACGGGUGAGUAACACGUGAGUAACCUGCCCUUGACUUUGGGAUAACUUCAGGAAACUGGGGCUAAUACCGGAUAGGAGCUCCUGCUGCAUGGUGGGGGUUGGAAAGUUUCGGCGGUUGGGGAUGGACUCGCGGCUUAUCAGCUUGUUGGUGGGGUAGUGGCUUACCAAGGCUUUGACGGGUAGCCGGCCUGAGAGGGUGACCGGCCACAUUGGGACUGAGAUACGGCCCAGACUCCUACGGGAGGCAGCAGUGGGGAAUAUUGCACAAUGGGCGGAAGCCUGAUGCAGCAACGCCGCGUGCGGGAUGACGGCCUUCGGGUUGUAAACCGAUUUCGCAUGUGACGAAGCGUGAGUGACGGUAAUGGGUAAAGAAGCACCGGCUAACUACGUG